RNAcentral lists this ribosomal RNA (473 nucleotides) under uncultured organism. RNAcentral's name for it is "bacterial SSU rRNA". It matches the Rfam family "Bacterial small subunit ribosomal RNA", at positions 1035 to 1504 of the family's 1533-position model. The record is from RNAcentral.
CAGGUGCUGCAUGGCUGUCGUCAGCUCGUGUCGUGAGAUGUUGCGUUAAGUCGCGCAACGAGCGCAACCCCCUGUUCUUAGUUGCCAUCAUUAAGUUGGGCACUCUAGGGAGACAAACCCUCUUUGAGGGUGGGAAGGUGGGGGAUGACGUCAAGUCAGGAUGGCCCUUACGGCUAGGGCUGCACACGUACUACAAUGCCUGGUACAGAGGGACGCAAUACCGCGAGGUAAAGCAAAUCCCUAAAAACCGGGCCCAGUUCAGAUUGUAGUCUGCAACUCGACUACAUGAAGUUGGAAUCGCUAGUAAUGGCGCAUCAGCUACGGCGCCGUGAAUACGUUCCCGGGCCUUGUACACACCGCCCGUCACGUCAUGAAAGCCGGUUUCGCCCGAAGUGCGUUUGCCAACCAGCAAUGGAAGCGACGCCCUAAGGUGAAGCUGGUGAUUGGGACGAAGUCGUAACAAGGUAGCCGUA